Molecule: ribosomal RNA, 576 nt
Filed under: Escherichia coli
Lineage: Bacteria; Pseudomonadati; Pseudomonadota; Gammaproteobacteria; Enterobacterales; Enterobacteriaceae
Description: partial 23S ribosomal RNA
Rfam family: Bacterial large subunit ribosomal RNA
Source: RNAcentral
CUGCGAGCGUGACGGCGCGAGCAGGUGCGAAAGCAGGUCAUAGUGAUCCGGUGGUUCUGAAUGGAAGGGCCAUCGCUCAACGGAUAAAAGGUACUCCGGGGAUAACAGGCUGAUACCGCCCAAGAGUUCAUAUCGACGGCGGUGUUUGGCACCUCGAUGUCGGCUCAUCACAUCCUGGGGCUGAAGUAGGUCCCAAGGGUAUGGCUGUUCGCCAUUUAAAGUGGUACGCGAGCUGGGUUUAGAACGUCGUGAGACAGUUCGGUCCCUAUCUGCCGUGGGCGCUGGAGAACUGAGGGGGGCUGCUCCUAGUACGAGAGGACCGGAGUGGACGCAUCACUGGUGUUCGGGUUGUCAUGCCAAUGGCACUGCCCGGUAGCUAAAUGCGGAAGAGAUAAGUGCUGAAAGCAUCUAAGCACGAAACUUGCCCCGAGAUGAGUUCUCCCUGACCCUUUAAGGGUCCUGAAGGAACGUUGAAGACGACGACGUUGAUAGGCCGGGUGUGUAAGCGCAGCGAUGCGUUGAGCUAACCGGUACUAAUGAACCGUGAGGCUUAACCUUACAACGCCGAAGGUGUUU